Molecule: ribosomal RNA, 440 nt
Filed under: uncultured bacterium
Lineage: Bacteria
Description: partial 16S ribosomal RNA
Rfam family: Bacterial small subunit ribosomal RNA
Source: RNAcentral
CCUACGGGUGGCUGCAGUGGGGAAUAUUGCACAAUGGGGGAAACGCUGAUGCAGCGACGCCGCGUGAGUGAAGAAGUAUUUCGGUAUGUAAAGCUCUAUCAGCAGGGAAGAAAAUGACGGUACCUGAUUCAGAAGCCCCGGCGAACUACGUGCCAGCAGCCGCGGUAAUACGCAGGGGGCCAGCGUUAUCCGGAUUUACUGGGUGUAAAGGGGGCGUAGACGGCAGCACAAGUGUGGAGUGAAAUGCCGGGGCUUAACCCCGGAACUGCUUUGGAAACUGUGCAUCUAGAGUGCAGGAGAGGUAAGUGGAAUGCCUAGUGUAGCGGUGAAAUGCGUAGAUAUUGGGAGGAACACCAGUGGCGAAGGCGGCUUACUGGACUGUAACUGACGUUGAGGCUCGAAAGCGUGGGGAGCAAACAGGAUUAGAUACCCGGGUAGUC